This 494-nucleotide ribosomal RNA is filed under the name uncultured bacterium. RNAcentral's name for it is "partial 16S ribosomal RNA". It matches the Rfam family "Bacterial small subunit ribosomal RNA", at positions 28 to 507 of the family's 1533-position model. The record is from RNAcentral.
GACGAACGCUGGCGGCGUGCUUAACACAUGCAAGUCGAACGGUCAAGCGCCUUCCUUUUUGGUGGGUGUUGAUGAGUGGCGAACGGGUUAGUAACACGUUAGUCUCCUGCCCCCUCCUUCUUGAUAACCGCAUGCCAGUGUGGCUAAUACGUGAUAUUCUGGGUCUGUUGCAUGAUUGGUCUGGGAAAGUUAUUGUUUCGGUGGGGGAUGGGGUCGCGGCCUAUCAGCUUGUUGGUGGGGUGAUGGCCUACCAAGGCGGUGAGGAGUAGCCGGCCUGAGAGGGUGGGCGGUAACAGAGGGAAGGAGACACGGAGAAGACUCCGAGGGGAAGCAGCAGGGGGGAAUAUGGCAUGAGGGGAGGAAGGCUGAUGCAGCGACGCCGCGGGAGUGAUGGAGGCCGUCGGGUUGUGAACCGCUUUCGGGAAAGAAGAAGGCCGGCCGCGUUUGUGGGUGGGUUGACGGUAGCUGGAUAAGAAGCGACGGCUAACUACGUG